Molecule: ribosomal RNA, 519 nt
Filed under: uncultured eukaryote
Lineage: Eukaryota
Description: bacterial SSU rRNA
Rfam family: Eukaryotic small subunit ribosomal RNA
Source: RNAcentral
AGGGCACCACCAGGAGUGGAGCCUGCGGCUUAAUUUGACUCAACACGGGAAAACUUACCUGGUCAGGACACUGGAAGGAUUGACAGAUUGAGAGCUCUUUCUUGAUUCAGUGGGUGGUGGUGCAUGGCCGUUCUUAGUUGGUGGAGCGAUUUGUCUGGUUAAUUCCGAUAACGAACGAAACUCUAGCCUACUAAAUAGACUGCUCAACUUUAUAGCUGCAUCACCUUGCAGUGGCUUCGGUUGCUGUAAGGCUGUGGUGACGUUGGCAGUGCUUCUUAGAGGGACAGGCGGCGGUUCAGCCGCACGAAACAGAGCAAUAACAGGUCUGUGAUGCCCUUAGAUGUCCAGGGCCGCACGCGCGCUACACUGAAGUGAUCAGCGUGCAAUUAACGUUUCCUACUCCGUCAGGAGUGGGUAACCCGUUGAACCUUCUUCGUGAUUGGGAUAGGGGAUUGUAAUUAUUCCCCUUGAACGAGGAAUUCCCAGUAAGCGCAAGUCAUAAGCUUGCGUUGAUUACGU